GCGGGGUUAAACAUGUUAGCGAGUUCCCAACCCUCCCCCUAACCUGGGACAUUGGUAUAACAUGUAUACUGUAUACUGUAUGAUAACCAGAAUAAGGAGAUGUGGUAUGAAUUUCAAUAAGACAACCAUCAACCGUAAACCAAGACAGGGAUCUCCAUGGAUGAAAAUUGAACGAUGGAGGAACUUCAAGUGAAGUGAUGUAAUUGUUAGUAACUGUACAUCC
This 223-nucleotide long non-coding RNA is filed under the name Mytilus galloprovincialis (Mediterranean mussel). The record is from RNAcentral. Lineage: Eukaryota; Metazoa; Mollusca; Bivalvia; Mytilida; Mytilidae.